AUGCCGACCCACAGUUCGUGGCAAAUUGGCCAACGCGGGCUACAGAAAUCUUUUAGCGCGAAUAUUUUGGCCCAAGCCCGCGAACGCUCAGAUCUAGAUAAGGUGUACCACGCACGCAGCCAAAUCCCUAAUUCCCCUUCUCCUUCUCCUUCGAUUCCCCACACCCGCCGCCGCCGGGCUCUCCACCGCGCCUCCGCGCUCCACCACGGCGUUGGCCUCUCCCUCGCGCCCCCGCGUCUCUACUUCACGCUGUCGACCUCUCCACCGCGCCGGCCACCUCUCCACCUACUCCAGAGGAGCGUUGCCCUGCGGAAUGGCGUGACGGCCGUGGCGGCGCACGUCCCGGAGCUUUCAAGCUUCCCGGCGAGCAGCGUCGGCGGCUCCGGCACCAACCUCCACUCCUCCAGGUUCCGGUUCCUCGUCAACACCCAGGACGUUGUUGGUCUUGCUGUCAAUAUUUAUACAGGACAAAAGCAGAACUUCGAUCCAGCACCCUCCCACGCACCUGCAAGCAUGAAUGAAGGACGUGUUUUGAGGUCUAGUGUAACACAAAAUCAUGAUCAUGUAGAUCACGCGCAUCAGCCUUCCAAAGAAGCAAACAUAAGGACUGGACUCACAAUGAACCAUGAAGCCGGCGAUCUGUGUCAACUGGAUGCUUUAGCUUUCAUUUUGUACAACGAUGUCUCAUAUUUGCGUCUUUUUGCUGUCAUUCUGUAA
RNAcentral lists this ribosomal RNA (717 nucleotides) under Triticum aestivum (bread wheat). Its description in RNAcentral is "partial small subunit ribosomal RNA". Lineage: Eukaryota; Viridiplantae; Streptophyta; Magnoliopsida; Poales; Poaceae. The record is from RNAcentral.